This 66-nucleotide transfer RNA is filed under the name Pseudotibiozus cerasopus. RNAcentral describes it as "tRNA-Tyr". Lineage: Eukaryota; Metazoa; Arthropoda; Diplopoda; Spirostreptida; Spirostreptidae. The record is from RNAcentral.
AAUGAUGUGGCUGAAAACCAGGCGGUAAAUUGUAAAUUUAUUUAUAAUAAUUAAUAUUCGUCAUUA